CCUACGGGCGGCAGCAGUGGGGAAUAUUGCGCAAUGGGCGAAAGCCUGACGCAGCGACGCCGCGUGAGGGAUGAAGGUCUUCGGAUCGUAAACCUCUGUCAGCAGGGAAGAACGGUCGCUGUGCUAAUCAGAAGUGACUUGACGGUACCUGCAAAGGAAGCACCGGCUAACUCCGUGCCAGCAGCCGCGGUAAUACGGAGGGUGCGAGCGUUAAUCGGAAUUACUGGGCGUAAAGCGCUCGUAGGCGGUAUGUCAAGUCAAGGGUGAAAUCCCCGCGCUCAACGUGGGAACUGCCUUUGAAACUGUCAAACUGGAGUGUGUGAGAGGAGAGUGGAAUUCCAGAUGUAGGAGUGAAAUCCGUAGAUAUCUGGAGGAACAUCAGUGGCGAAGGCGACUAUCUGGCACAUAACUGACGCUGAGGAGCGAAAGCGUGGGUAGCAAACAGGAUUAGAUACCCGAGUAGUC
Molecule: ribosomal RNA, 465 nt
Filed under: uncultured bacterium
Lineage: Bacteria
Description: partial 16S ribosomal RNA
Rfam family: Bacterial small subunit ribosomal RNA
Source: RNAcentral